This is a long non-coding RNA of Gasterosteus aculeatus aculeatus (three-spined stickleback), 2509 nucleotides long. The record is from Ensembl. Lineage: Eukaryota; Metazoa; Chordata; Actinopteri; Perciformes; Gasterosteidae.
GUGUGUGUGUGUGUGUGUGUGUGUGUGUGUAUCAUACUGUAGCAGUGUGAGUUUCAGUGAACCCUUGUUGAAUAUAAAUGACUCAAAAUCCAAUACUGAUCUGUCUCUCUGACUCAGUCUCUUGGAAACGCACACACACACACACACACACACACACACACACACACACACACUCGUACGUACACACAAACACACACUCUCUCUCUGCAGAAGGGACCCGGUCCAGGUCCUUCAUCUGCUGCAUUAACCAUCGCCGUAACAUUCCAGGUGCACAUGAACCAUCUAGUGCUCUGAUUGGUCGGCUAUUUGCUAUUAAUUGACUUCAGUUUUUAUAUUGAUGCCUUUAGUUUCUCUUUCACUUAUGCAAUAAUAAUAAUAUAUCAAUAUGUUUUUCUUUUCCCCCUGAGGACAGAUCUGUGUACUCCUACAUGCAUUUAUGCACCCCAUCUAUGUCGCAUCCAUCCAUAUAUCUAUAUAUUAUAUAUCUAUAUAUCAUCUAUCCAUAUAUCUAUAAUCAUAUAUCUAUAUAUCAUCUAUCCAUAUAGCUAUAUAUCAUAUAUCUAUAUAUCAUCUAUCCAUAUAUCAUAUAUCUAUAUAUCCAUAUAUCUAUAUAUCAUAUAUCUGUAUAUCAUAUAUCUAUAUAUCCAUAUAUCUAUAUAUCAUAUAUCUAUAUAUCAUCUAUCCAUAUAUCUAUAAUCAUAUAUCUAUAUAUCAUCUAUCCAUAUAGCUAUAUAUCAUAUAUCUAUAUAUCCAUAUAUCUAUAUAUCAUAUAUCUGUAUAUCAUAUAUCCAUAUAUCUAUAUAUCAUAUAUCUAUAUAUCAUAUAUCUAUAUAUCCAUCCUGUCAUGUUCAUUUCAUCUCUUAAUGGCCUGCAGAGAUAGAUUUUAUAUCCUGCAUCCAUCAUCUCUGCAGAGUGGUGUAACCUGAAGGAACACUUUGCACUCCGCACUGGCUUCGUGCGUGUGCGUGCGUGUGUGUGCGUGUGUGUGUGGGUGUGCGCGUGUGUGUGUGUGCGUGUGUGUGUGUGUGUGUGCACUAAGCCCGAAGGAAAGGGGGGAGUCAGUUUUAUAGCUGAAUGAAUCCCUUUUCACCUCACUGUCUUCACACAGCUGCUGUCUGUCAGACCACCUCUGGAUACAGAUGUUAUGGUAUCUGAUGGUGGCCGUAGUGUUGCUGCAGCACCAGAGGACGGCGUUGUUGUCGAUGCAUCUGAUGGGCGACGUGAGAUCAGCUCAGAGGAAAGGAAAAGAAGGCCGCCGUUCUAAAUCUAUAUUGGGAUCGACGUAUCCGUCUCUGGUGUUGACCUGUCAAUCAGCAGGUAGCCCCGCCCUAAAGCGUCCCCUGCUUUAUGGUGUGUUUGACUCUAAAUGGACCAUAACUCACCAAAUGAACAUCAUGCUGGAUGUAUGUAGGACUGAGACCAUAAACUCAUGUUUACAAUCUUCACUGAGGACAUAAUAAUAUAAGAGUCAUUUUCUCAUAAACUUCUGACCCGAGGUGGCGCCCCCUGCUGGUCACUACAUAGAAUGCAAGGCUCUCUCUACAGAACCGGAGGUUCAGGUAAUCACUCCUCUGCUCGGCAAGUCGUCAUCCCAGUAAAGGUUUUAUGAAUAACGCAAAGCUGUCGUCCCCCUGUGGAUCCGCCGCGUCCAAAGUUGCCUAUCUUUUUGCAACGGUCGCCGUCCCCCCCGCCGGUUGCCGUGGAGACGACAGAAGGGGUCACAGCGAAGCAGCUGUUUGUUGCAGCGCGGCAUCGUGAGGUCUAAACACACAGACAGACGCACUCAGACACUACUGCCAGCUCCAGAGGCAUUGUGGGCACCGGGGGGGCAAUUUAGCUCGAGUGCCUCUGUCUGAGCACGGCGCACACUUACACACACACACAUACACACACUUACACACACACACGCACCAACACACUCGGCCUGAUUCACCGUGCUGAUUCAAACUCAACACUGAACAGGUCGGGUGUCACCGAGGACCUGGCAACGCGGCGCCCUCUCCAUUUACUAUCUGGCAACCCGACGUCCGGUCGACUCCUCCCUCCAAAAGGUGCAAGCUGUUUACCCAUGAUGCUUCGCGGCAGAAAGAGUCUCAUUACGACAAGCGGUGCGUUGUCAUUAGACUCAAUGGCUGCAUUAUCACAGUGUGUGUGUGUGUGUGUGUGUGUGUGUGUGUGUUCCAGAUGGUGAUGCAUCAACCAUGAAGUCAUUAUGAGGAAAUUAGAAUAAUGAACUGUUUGUCCCCCUCGGUUUCUUCCCAGCAGCCUCGGCCCCUUUAAACACAGAAGGACCACCUGACGAAGGACUCCGCCCUCUAAAUUCACCCUGACCCCCCCCCCCUGAGGGACUCGUCUCCACACAAAGCAGUGGUUGUUUUCACUGAGAUCAUCUUGGUUAUCGUAUUAUUUCCAUCCAGUCUUCUAGAAGCAGUGAGACGGUUGUUUGUGUGAGGACAUGCUGCUCGUCUUCAGCUUAUAACAUCCUCAUGUGUAACCCUGACCCUGAUCC